Long non-coding RNA from Callithrix jacchus (white-tufted-ear marmoset), 2308 nucleotides. NCBI's taxonomy places the organism in Eukaryota, Metazoa, Chordata, Mammalia, Primates, Cebidae. The record is from Ensembl.
AUCAGACACUCUUUCCAGGUAGAUAGUGUUGGAACUGAAUUGGAGGACACCCAGCUGGUGCCCACUGCUUGGUGUGUAUGUGUGUGGUGGGAGAUCCCCACACAUUUGGUUGCAGAAGUCUUCUGUGUUGAUGAUUGUUGUCCUGGUGUGAGAGCAGAGGAAAAACACGGCUUGAGAGUUUUUCUGAAAUAGGAGGGCCUAAGAACUCUACUGUUCUAUGCCACAGAACUGCCCCCCACCACCUUCCUUGCAAGGCUGGCUAUUCAAUAGUCAGGAGAGGAAGUGAUAGCCUGGACCAGCCUCCCCACUUCCCCACCUCUCACCCCAUUCAGAGCCCAGAUCCAGUAGACAGUGGAGAUGAGGCCUGCUUGGAGUCAGGCAGGCUCUAUCAGACAACUUCAGGCCAAGAAGCUGCCCCUCUUGGGAUGGAGGGCUCAAAAAUCUUGUGGCAUGGGCAGGUGGAAAGCCAGCCUUAUCAGCAAGCUCUCAUUCUGAUCUGCUCUCACGUGAUUCCAGCUCUCCAGGUGCAGCCUCUGUGCAGGAAGGCCUGGCAUGCCCAGUGCUGCCUGUGAUUGGUGAGUCUGUCUUUGUCAUUUGGAAAAGUUAUUACUGGACGUUUAAUGUCACCUUUUCCAGUGUCAGCUUUAUCCCUAAUAAAAGUGACAUUUUGGUCUCCAUCUGACUAGCUCUCAUCCUACCACCUGAUUGGUUUAGAAUUCUGGUGGGGAAAAUAGGAACUGAAUUCUGGGGGUCUCCAUACAACUCCAAAACCACCUUAUUCUUCCCAAAGUCAACCAGCUAUCUUGAAUGUGGCUAGAUUCCUCAUCUGCGCUUCCUCAUCCCUCAUUCCUUCCUCAAGUCACAGCCAUGUAGCUUCUCCUCCCACUAAACAUUGAACCCAUCUUGCAAGGUCGCUGAUGACUUAUUUCAAAAUACAAUGAAACUUUUCAGUCUAAAGGUCAAUUUUACUUGCAGUCUCUGCAACUUUCAAAGCUCUUCAUCAUUUCCUCCUCCUUGGCAUUCCUUCCUCUCCGAAAUUCCAUGACAUUACUUUCUCUUGCUUUUCCUCGUGCUUCUCUGACUCUUCCUUCUCAGCCUCCCUGAACUGUUCUUCAACCUCUAUGCUCCUCAGUUGCUAGUGUUCUCCAGGGUUUUGCCUUACAUCCUCACUCUGUGGUCUCUUCCUUGGUGAUUUUAUCCACUGCCGAGGCUUCUAAUUACCACAUAUACCCCAACCCUGCCUGCUGCCCAGGGCUCUCUUUAAAAUUCUAGACUCAAAGGGCCAAGUACCAGUGGUGUGACUCCAUGUGUGAUGGAAGAAGGUACCAUGUCAUUUUAUUUUUUAUUGCUUUAUUAAUGACAGCAAGAUUUUUUUCAUAUUUUACUGAUAAGUUGUGCAUGUUUGUAGGUGCAUGUGUAUACAUCUUUCCCUCACUUGACAUUUCUUAUGCUCCUUCCCUCCUCUUUUUUUCUGUCCUGCACCUUAGUUUGGGUCACAACACACUUCAGUGAUGUUGCUGUGCCACUUCUCCAAGUGCAGCUUCUGCUCCCAGUCUGCUAGUUUGUGAUCUCAGACUCGAUUCUUCAGUGCUUGUGAUAUGUGCAAACACAGGGACUGUGUAUAUCACACAGACCACGACCCCACCCCUGCCUACUCUCUCUCUCUCUGCCCUAUUUCUCACCAUUCCACCCUUGUGCCUUAUGUUCCUUCUACCAGCUUCCAGGAAGUACCUGCUCCCUCCCUGCUCCUUGCCUCUUCUCCCCUUCUCUGACUGACUGACUUUAUUCUUUAAAACACACUUCUGGUGUCCCUUCUGGGAAGGCCUCCAGCCCCACCUCCCAGGGAGGGCUAGCUGCCCUGACUCUGCGUUCCCACUGUAAUUGUAUUUACCCAUUCUGGUGUAUAUGUGGUCAUUUCGCAAUGGCCUGUCACUCUCUGUCUUGCUGCCAGGCUGUGCACUCCUUGGGGAUACACCUUGCUCAUCUAAUACUUCCAGAACUUCAUGCACUCCUGGCAUGUGGUAGAUGUUCAAUACAUUUUUGAAUGACUGAAUAUGUGACAGAAGGCAGUGCCCUUACAAUUUAUUCCUGAGAUCUCCCUUCCCGACCACUGGAUUCACUCACUGAAGGGAAGUGAUCAGUUUCCUACCAGCAGCACCCUCUGCCCACUGAGAGAUGGUGCUCCACGGGGAAACUCUUCAUCCCUGGUGGUAUUUGAAGGGAGUUCUCCAUACAUGUUAACCUUGUAAAAUUUCCCUCCAUCAUUGGCCCUGGCCUUGCUGACUUUCCCAUUAUAUUUCUUUGCGGG